Molecule: long non-coding RNA, 1453 nt
Organism: Paramormyrops kingsleyae
Lineage: Eukaryota; Metazoa; Chordata; Actinopteri; Osteoglossiformes; Mormyridae
Source: RefSeq, a predicted model, not a curated record
UCAGGAGUGGCCGGUGCUUGCUGCGGCGCGCUGAACGAAAGUGCACAGAAAGACGGAUACGUAGUUUAAUUCGAAAGAAACUAUGUUUAUGCGAGUGUGGAAAAUUGAUUAGCUCCUUAAUGCCGCGCUCAGGCAGGGUGCGUGCGAGGGCUGCCAGCUUCCUGUAGCAGGACUGCCAGGCCUAAUAAACUCAGGUGCGCUAUAUAAAUAUAGCGCCUUGACGCAUAUGUGUGCUAUACGUCAGUGUCAUUAUAUUGAGCUCGAUUCGCAUGUGUAAAAAGGGUGCAUGAGCCUGGAACGUCUGCAUCAGCACGGAAACAGGACUGCUCCUUCCCGGGUCGGAAUGGACCGAACCGGACCGACUGGGGAGGAUUCAUCCACAGUGGCGGAGAGGAUAGUCACGUGACUCCCGUUUCUUUUGAAUCGAGCAGUUUAAACAAAAUAUGAUUGCCAAAGUAAGCCAACAAAAGUUUAUUUCUAUAGAAACGUUCUUCGCCAGAUUAGCGCUGCGAGCCCCCCUGGGAAUGAUGGGACUCGAGGGCGCUCUCGUUUCUCGGUGGGGUGUCAGAGCGGGCAGCUCUGCUCCGACGCGGCUCUCCGGAGAGCGAGUCGAACGGCGCAUCCGCACGGAGGAAGUGGAUAAACCUGAAAGUUAGCUAAUUGAAGUCAGACGGCACUCGACAGUCCCGGGAGAGCCAAGGCGGGAUUACCAUGUAAGCGGAUUGGUGCGGACAGCCGCCAUCCUGCCGCCAGCUGGAGCAGGAGGCACGAGAAGAAAGGUUCCCCCCCCAGCAAAAUUAGCCCCCGGCACUUUGUAUUCUCCAAAAACACUACCGUUAUACCGUUGGGGAGUCAGGAUCUGCUGCGGGCUGAUGUAACGUGACGGACACGCAGGGCGGUGCAGAGCAGACCGGCAGGCCGAGGCCUUACCACAGUAAGCCGGAUGAUGAAUAAAGUACGUCAGGCAAUAAAUAUACCCAUUAUGAUGGAAGGACUGCACUCCAUAUCUAAAAUAUGUCAGGAUUUAAUUUUCGCUUGACCGAAGCUCUUGAGAUGUUCCAUCAUUUUGUGAUCAGAGAACUUAGUACAUAGAUGAAUGGCCGUGGUUUUUUGUCAAAAACAAUGUGACAGCUAAUGAAUCACUUCGUCCCCAUUAUGUGUCCUAAUGAAUGCUUCUGGAAAAUAUAUUUUAAAGACUUAAGUUUCAUUCUGUAGCACAACGAUUCAUAACAAGGUGUACUGUACUGUAAAAGGAACUGUUUCUAAUGGACCGCUAUCCCAUAAUGCAAUGCGGCACGAGGUGGUCAGGUGAUUCCCUCCACGUGGUAGCACUAACAGAGUGGGUCUGCCAUUCAGUGCCUGUGCAACAAAUUAUUUACAAUUCUGCAUUUUUAUUAUGCUUUAUUAUUAAAAUGCUUUCGGGGGCUGGUUUUACGACAAGAUAUUUCAGAGG